UGGGGAAUAUUGCGCAAUGGGCGAAAGCCUGACGCAGCAACACCGCGUGAGGGAUGACGGCCUUCGGGUUGUAAACCUCUUUCAGCUCCGACGAAGCGAAAGUGACGGUAGGAGCAGAAGAAGCACCGGCUAACUACGUGCCAGCAGCCGCGGUAAUACGUAGGGUGCAAGCGUUGUCCGGAAUUAUUGGGCGUAAAGAGCUCGUAGGCGGUCCGUUGCGUCUGCCGUGAAAACCCGGAGCUCAACUCCGGGCCUGCGGUGGAUACGGGCGGACUAGAGUCCGGUAGGGGAGACUGGAAUUCCUGGUGUAGCGGUGGAAUGCGCAGAUAUCAGGAGGAACACCGGUGGCGAAAGGCGGGUCUCUGGGCCGGAACUGACGCUGAGGAGCGAAAGCGUGGGGAGCGAACAGGAUUUAGAUACCCUGGGUAGUCCACGCCGUAAAACGGUGGGCGCUAGGUGUGGGGAUCGUUUUCCACGAUCUCCGUGCCGUAGCUAACGCAUUAAGCGCCCCGCCUGGGGAGUACGGCCGC
This 530-nucleotide ribosomal RNA is filed under the name uncultured bacterium. Its description in RNAcentral is "bacterial SSU rRNA". It matches the Rfam family "Bacterial small subunit ribosomal RNA", at positions 355 to 889 of the family's 1533-position model. The record is from RNAcentral.